RNAcentral lists this ribosomal RNA (456 nucleotides) under uncultured bacterium. RNAcentral describes it as "bacterial SSU rRNA". It matches the Rfam family "Bacterial small subunit ribosomal RNA", at positions 56 to 507 of the family's 1533-position model. The record is from RNAcentral.
UGCAAGUCGAGCGGAUGACGGGAGCUUGCUCCUUGAUUCAGCGGCGGACGGGUGAGUAAUGCCUAGGAAUCUGCCUGGUAGUGGGGGACAACGUUUCGAAAGGAACGCUAAUACCGCAUACGUCCUACGGGAGAAAGCAGGGGACCUUUGGGCCUUGCGCUAUCAGAUGAGCCUAGGUCGGAUUAGCUAGUUGGUGGGGUAAUGGCUCACCAAGGCGACGAUCCGUAACUGGUCUGAGAGGAUGAUCAGUCACACUGGAACUGAGACACGGUCCAGACUCCUACGGGAGGCAGCAGUGGGGAAUAUUGGACAAUGGGCGAAAGCCUGAUCCAGCCAUGCCGCGUGUGUGAAGAAGGUCUUCGGAUUGUAAAGCACUUUAAGUUGGGAGGAAGGGCAGUAAGUUAAUACCUUGCUGUUUUGACGUUACCGACAGAAUAAGCACCGGCUAACUCUGUG